Molecule: long non-coding RNA, 1198 nt
Filed under: Homo sapiens (human)
Lineage: Eukaryota; Metazoa; Chordata; Mammalia; Primates; Hominidae
Description: HSALNT0403212
Source: RNAcentral
UGGGUAUUUGCUUGAUCUCGGUUUAUUGGGAGGAACAGAAACACCAAGCUCACCCAUGAAUACUUCAAUGAGGAGCACAGGCACCAGCUCUGACGGGAGUGACUGAGGGAGCUCCUGGUGAAAUGUGCCAAGGUUGCUGCAGUUGGAGAGGGGGCUCCACCAGCUCCACAUCCUGGGCAGACAGGAACACAGUCUCUUUCUGUAUCACACCCUUGUGCCAGGGCUGAUGACUCUCAGUUCAGGCAGACACUGUCAUCUAACGCCAGGCCACAAUGUCACCGAAAGCCAGGGAAAACACCUGUCCCGUGAUUCUUCACUGGAAUGGCUUCAGCAUGGAAUCUCUUCCCUCAGCUCAAUACAGACAACUUUGUGGCUCUCCUGUUCUCCAGUGUAGGAACACUGCUGCUUCAUAGAGAGAGGGGGAAUGGUUCUGCCUUACAGUACAUGCAGGUGGGAGUCCUCUGUGGUGGUGUCAGGUGAUUGGAUUAGUUCAACCUCAGACCCCAGAGGGAAUGAACAGGUGCCAUCACUGGGCUAGGCAAUCCCCUAAUCCUCAGGUUCCUAAAUGGCUCUCUGGACAAUGUGCAUGAGUCCUGGAGGGACUAAACCAGGACCGGACCAGCAAACAUGUCUUCAAAUUCCCACAGUUCAGAUGAUCUAUUCAAAGUGUGAAUAUUUACUAUUUUGAUUCAUCUCCAUGGAAGAGGAACCCACUAGCUGCUUCUAGUCAGCCAUCUUGAACCAGAAGCCCUUAUUUUACUUUUAUUUGUACUUUUUCUUUCAAAAAACUUUUUAAAUAUGUCAUUAAAAUGGUAAAUUUGCAAGUUUAAGUGAAAUCUAGUUUAGAAUUGAUGAAUUGUUAGUGAUGAUAUUCACAUCAUGAAAGUACUCAAUAGCAACUAGCCAAAGACAUUACUUUGAGGCAUGAAAAUAUCCUGUGUCUGUUUCUGCAAUAUAUGUUUAUUUCAGGAUAAAAAAAGAAAUUGUUUCUAUAAUGGAUUUUCACAUGGAACAAGUAAAAUGUUCUUGACUGAAUAUGUUGGCUGUCUUUUCUUCCAACAAACCAUUAGUUUACCAGUGUUGACAUUAGAAACAGCUCCUUACUAAAAAAUAAAAAUGUACCACCAAUGGAUCUCAGCUCUUAAGUGGAUUUCUAGUGACUAUGAUACUUGCAUGAAGUUCAGGGAUUGGAAUCUAU